Molecule: ribosomal RNA, 324 nt
Filed under: uncultured eukaryote
Lineage: Eukaryota
Description: partial 18S ribosomal RNA
Rfam family: Eukaryotic small subunit ribosomal RNA
Source: RNAcentral
CCCUUAGAUGUUCUGGGCUGCACGCGCGCUACACUGAAGCUAUCAACACGUUUUCCCUCCCUGAGAAGGGCGGGUAACCUUUUGAAUCAGCUUCGUGGUAGGGAUCGGGGCUUGCAAUUGUUCCCCGUGAACCAGGAAUUCCUAGUAGACGCGAGUCAUAAGCUCGCAUCGAUUAAGUCCCUGCCCUUUGUACACACCGCCCGUCGCUACUACCGAUUGAACGUUUUAGUGAGGCAUUUGGACCGACGCAUCUCAGUUUAACCGCUGGUUUGUGUUGGAAAGACUUCCAAACUUGAGCGUUUAGAGGAAGUAAAAGCCGUAACA